Molecule: ribosomal RNA, 931 nt
Filed under: uncultured bacterium
Lineage: Bacteria
Description: bacterial SSU rRNA
Rfam family: Bacterial small subunit ribosomal RNA
Source: RNAcentral
CGCGCAUUCGCCCUUAGAGUUUGAUCCUGGCUCAGGAUGAACGCUAGCUACAGGCUUAACACAUGCAAGUCGAGGGGCAGCGGGAUUGAAGCUUGCUUCAAUUGCCGGCGACCGGCGCACGGGUGAGUAACGCGUAUCCAACCUUCCGUACACUCAGGGAUAGCCUUUCGAAAGAAAGAUUAAUACCUGAUGGUAUGAUGAGAUUGCAUGAUAGCAUCAUUAAAGAUUUAUCGGUGUACGAUGGGGAUGCGUUCCAUUAGGUAGUAGGCGGGGUAACGGCCCACCUAGCCAACGAUGGAUAGGGGUUCUGAGAGGAAGGUCCCCCACAUUGGAACUGAGACACGGUCCAAACUCCUACGGGAGGCAGCAGUGAGGAAUAUUGGUCAAUGGACGAGAGUCUGAACCAGCCAAGUAGCGUGAAGGAUGAAGGUCCUACGGAUUGUAAACUUCUUUUAUAAGGGAAUAAACCCUCCCACGUGUGGGAGCUUGUAUGUACCUUAUGAAUAAGCAUCGGCUAACUCCGUGCCAGCAGCCGCGGUAAUACGGAGGAUGCGAGCGUUAUCCGGAUUUAUUGGGUUUAAAGGGAGCGCAGACGGGUCGUUAAGUCAGCUGUGAAAGUUUGGGGCUCAACCUUAAAAUUGCAGUUGAUACUGGCGUCCUUGAGUGCGGUUGAGGUGUGCGGAAUUCGUGGUGUAGCGGUGAAAUGCUUAGAUAUCACGAAGAACUCCGAUUGCGAAGGCAGCACACUAAUCCGUAACUGACGUUCAUGCUCGAAAGUGUGGGUAUCAAACAGGAUUAGAUACCCUGGUAGUCCACACGGUAAACGAUGGAUACUCGCUGUUGGCGAUAUACUGUCAGCGGCUUAGCGAAAGCGUUAAGUAUCCCACCUGGGGAGUACGCCGGCAACGGUGAAACUCAAAUGAAUUGACGG